RNAcentral lists this long non-coding RNA (416 nucleotides) under Gallus gallus (chicken). Its description in RNAcentral is "lncRNA (ENSGALG00010006466.1)". Lineage: Eukaryota; Metazoa; Chordata; Aves; Galliformes; Phasianidae. The record is from RNAcentral.
GGAGCUCCCACAGCUUUCCUUGAAAUAACAGCAUCACCAACAGCUGGAAAAGGAGAAGCAGGAAAACUGCUCCUAGGGCCGGAUGUGGAGAAGGAAUCUUACAGUUCAUAAACAAGAUCAUAAAAGAACAACUUGCUUUGUUACCACUUCUACUGAGGCUGUGAAACACGAGUUACUGAAAAUACUACACUGCAGCUUGUGUCCAUGAGGCUCAGGAGAAUGAGAUGCUGUGCUGCAAACAACUCAGAAGCAGGAAAGGAGAAGAAGGAGGGGAGAAAAUGAGCUGCCUCAGUAAUAUACCUCCUCUGACAAAGCUGAAAGUGCCUGGCUAUUUCUCAGCAAAUGAAAAAAAGUCUAAAGGAAUGAGGACUUGUGUGGCCUCCCCCAACCAAAAAAAUAAAAAAAGAGGAAAUGAG